ACUCCUACGGGAGGCAGCAGUGGGGAAUAUUGGACAAUGGGGGAAACCCUGAUCCAGCCAUGCCGCGUGUGUGAAGAAGGUCUUCGGAUUGUAAAGCACUUUAAGUUGGGAGGAAGGGCUUCAGGUUAAUACCUUGAAGUCUUGACGUUACCAACAGAAUAAGCACCGGCUAACUCUGUGCCAGCAGCCGCGGUAAU
This 197-nucleotide ribosomal RNA is filed under the name uncultured bacterium. RNAcentral's name for it is "partial 16S ribosomal RNA". It matches the Rfam family "Bacterial small subunit ribosomal RNA", at positions 335 to 524 of the family's 1533-position model. The record is from RNAcentral.